CCUACGGGGGGCAGCAGUGGGGAAUAUUGGACAAUGGGGGGAACCCUGAUCCAGCCAUGCCGCGUGUGUGAAGAUGGCCCUCGGGUUGUAAAGCACUUUCAGUGAGGAAGAACGCCUGGUGGUUAAUACCCAUCAGGAAAGACAUCACUCACAGAAGAAGCACCGGCUAACUCCGUGCCAGCAGCCGCGGUAAUACGGAGGGUGCGAGCGUUAAUCGGAAUUACUGGGCGUAAAGCGCGCGUAGGUGGCUUGAUAAGCCGGUUGUGAAAGCCCCGGGCUCAACCUGGGAACGGCAUCCGGAACUGUCAAGCUAGAGUGCAGGAGAGGAAGGUAGAAUUCCCGGUGUAGCGGUGAAAUGCGUAGAGAUCGGGAGGAAUACCAGUGGCGAAGGCGGCCUUCUGGACUGACACUGACACUGAGGUGCGAAAGCGUGGGUAGCAAACAGGAUUAGAUACCCCUGUAGUC
This 465-nucleotide ribosomal RNA is filed under the name Vreelandella stevensii. RNAcentral's name for it is "partial 16S ribosomal RNA". It matches the Rfam family "Bacterial small subunit ribosomal RNA", at positions 338 to 795 of the family's 1533-position model. Lineage: Bacteria; Pseudomonadati; Pseudomonadota; Gammaproteobacteria; Oceanospirillales; Halomonadaceae. The record is from RNAcentral.